This is a long non-coding RNA of Brassica napus (rape), 886 nucleotides long. RefSeq lists it as uncharacterized. The transcript has 2 exons. The record is from RefSeq and is a predicted model, not a curated record. NCBI's taxonomy places the organism in Eukaryota, Viridiplantae, Streptophyta, Magnoliopsida, Brassicales, Brassicaceae.
AGCUCAACGUUACAUUCGUAUCUUUAAUCUUUAACUUUUUUUGCUUUUAUUCGUGUAUACAUGUGUGUAGUGUAGACAAGCUCUCUAACGUUAUGCUUUUAUUUUAACAAAAAACUUUCUUAUUUUCUUUCAUCUCUAUACCUUUUUCAGUUUUCAUUUGCUGGGAAUGCCCAUUUAUUUUGCUCGCAUUUACAAAUGCUCCCUUUAUCUUUUAUCUAGAUUACUAACGAAUCAUGCGUGAACGUUAGUGACAAUAAUCUAAAGAGCUAUUUGUGUAUAUAGUACUUCCUCCAUUCCUAAAUGAUCCAUAUUUUAUAUUUUCAAUGUAUGUAAUAAUGGCAAAUUGUAAACUUCAAAAACAUUAAUUGUGUUUACUGAAUUUUAAUUGGUCAAAAGUCAUAGGAAAUAGCUAAACACAGCAAAUAAUACAUUUGUUAUCAAAUUUUAAGUGUUUUCUUAAUAAAUGUGAAAAUUCUAGAAAAAUGGAUUAUAUAGAAACAGAGGGAGUAUUCUUAGUUAUAUAUUUUACGCACAUUUCUAAGUUUUAGCUGCCUUGCGUGAUAACUGGCUUAUACGUUGCUAAUAAGAACAAGCAAAUGAUGUAAAAAAAGAAGAAGCAACAAAGAUUCUGCCGACACUUAAUACUCAAGGACUCAUCGUACGUGUACAAUCCAUAUACUGUGAAGAUUGAACCAUCGGCUAUACUUACCGGUCGAGUUUGAUUUUAAUAUUUUUAAAAAUAAAUUUCUCGAUGCAGUUAAGAGAAAUUAACGUUGGAUGAAACUAUUAGAAGCAUGUAAUUAACUAAUGAUACCGACAGAUCCGAGAUGAUCAUGGUCGGAUGGGUCCAAUGCUUGUAUCUAAACUAUUUGCUUAUUUUCUUUAA